AAGGAAAACAAUCGAGGUCUUAUUUGAUACUAUUUUAUUUUGAGUGUUCAAUCACUCUAUUGCACAUUGAAAAACGAAUACUAUUAACGAAAAAUCUAUAACAAAACCGAAAAAAGAUUGAAUAGAAAAACCUAUUUAUUCUUUAACAAAUUCUUUAGUCAAGAAAAGACACAAAGACCAAAAUAUA
RNAcentral lists this unclassified non-coding RNA (187 nucleotides) under Candidatus Epulonipiscium viviparus. RNAcentral's name for it is "Epulopiscium sp. 'N.t. morphotype B' 16S-23S ribosomal RNA intergenic spacer". The record is from RNAcentral. Lineage: Bacteria; Bacillati; Bacillota; Clostridia; Lachnospirales; Lachnospiraceae.